GCCCACCAAGGCUACGAUGUCUAGGGGCUCUGAGAGGAGAAUCCCCCACACUGGUACUGAGACACGGACCAGACUCCUACGGGAGGCAGCAGUAAGGAAUAUUGGUCAAUGGAGGGAACUCUGAACCAGCCAUGCCGCGUGCAGGAUGACUGCCCUAUGGGUUGUAAACUGCUUUUGUCAGGGAAUAAACCUUUCCACGUGUGGGAAGCUGAAUGUACCUGAAGAAUAAGGAUCGGCUAACUCCGUGCCAGCAGCCGCGGUAAUACGGAGGAUCCAAGCGUUAUCCGGAUUUAUUGGGUUUAAAGGGUGCGUAGGCGGUCCUAUAAGUCAGUGGUGAAAGACGGCAGCUUAACUGUCGCAGUGCCUUUGAUACUGUAGGACUUGAAUCUAUUUGAAGUGGGCGGAAUAAGACAAGUAGCGGUGAAAUGCAUAGAUAUGUCUUAGAACUCCGAUUGCGAAGGCAGCUCACUAAGUUAGUAUUGACGCUGAUGCACGAAAGCGUGGGGAU
This 508-nucleotide ribosomal RNA is filed under the name Sphingobacterium faecium. Its description in RNAcentral is "bacterial SSU rRNA". It matches the Rfam family "Bacterial small subunit ribosomal RNA", at positions 263 to 768 of the family's 1533-position model. Lineage: Bacteria; Pseudomonadati; Bacteroidota; Sphingobacteriia; Sphingobacteriales; Sphingobacteriaceae. The record is from RNAcentral.